AGUGAACGCUGGCGGUAUGCCUAACACAUGCAAGUCGAACGGCAGCACAGUAAGAGCUUGCUCUUACGGGUGGCGAGUGGCGGACGGGUGAGGAAUACAUCGGAAUCUACUUUUUCGUGGGGGAUAACGUAGGGAAACUUACGCUAAUACCGCAUACGACCUACGGGUGAAAGCAGGGGAUCUUCGGACCUUGCGCGAUUGAAUGAGCCGAUGUCGGAUUAGCUAGUUGGCGGGGUAAAGGCCCACCAAGGCGAGGAUACAUAGCUGGUCUGAGAGGGUGAGCGGCCACAUUGGGACUGAGACAGGGCACAAACGCAGACGGGAGGCAGCAGUAGGGAAGCGUCGGAAAAGGACGAAAGUAUGACCGAGCAACGCCGCGGGAGGGAAGAAGGGUGUCGGAGCGUAAAACUCGGUGGGUAGAGAAGAAAGGAGGUGAGAGGGGAAAGCUCAGCAAGGGACGGUAACUACCCAGAAAGGGACGGCGAACUACGUG
Molecule: ribosomal RNA, 493 nt
Filed under: uncultured bacterium
Lineage: Bacteria
Description: partial 16S ribosomal RNA
Rfam family: Bacterial small subunit ribosomal RNA
Source: RNAcentral